RNAcentral lists this ribosomal RNA (468 nucleotides) under uncultured bacterium. RNAcentral's name for it is "partial 16S ribosomal RNA". It matches the Rfam family "Bacterial small subunit ribosomal RNA", at positions 28 to 507 of the family's 1533-position model. The record is from RNAcentral.
GACGAACGCUGGCGGCGUGCUUAACACAUGCAAGUCGAACGGAAAGGCCCUGCUUUUGUGGGGUGCUCGAGUGGCGAACGGGUGAGUAACACGUGAGUAACCUGCCCUUGACUUUGGGAUAACUUCAGGAGACUGGGGCUAAUACCGGAUAGGAGCUCCUGCUGCAUGGUGGGGGUUGGAAAGUUUCGGCGGUUGGGGAUGGACUCGCGGCUUAUCAGCUUGUUGGUGGGGUAGUGGCUUACCAAGGCUUUGACGGGUAGCCGGCCUGAGAGGGUGACCGGCCACAUUGGGACUGAGAUACGGCCCAGACUCCUACGGGAGGCAGCAGUGGGGAAUAUUGCACAAUGGGCGGAAGCCUGAUGCAGCAACGCCGCGUGCGGGAUGACGGCCUUCGGGUUGUAAACCGCUUUCGCCUGUGACGAAGCGUGAGUGACGGUAAUGGGUAAAGAGGCACCGGCUAACUACGUG